UAUAUUUUAGUGUAAGAUGCACAAAAGAUUUUGAUUCUUUUGGAUUAAGUUUAAUUCUUAAAAAUAUAG
Molecule: transfer RNA, 69 nt
Filed under: Meloimorpha japonica
Lineage: Eukaryota; Metazoa; Arthropoda; Insecta; Orthoptera; Phalangopsidae
Description: tRNA-Gln
Rfam family: tRNA
About the family: Transfer RNA (tRNA) molecules are approximately 80 nucleotides in length.
Source: RNAcentral